GGUCCGACUAAGCCAUGCGAGUCAUGGGGCGCCUUGCGCGCACCGGCGGACGGCUCAGUAACACGUCGGUAACCUACCCUCGGGAGGGGGAUAACCCCGGGAAACUGGGGCUAAUCCCCCAUAGGCCUGAGGUACUGGAAGGUCCUCAGGCCGAAAGGGGCUUCUGCCCGCCCGAGGAUGGGCCGGCGGCCGAUUAGGUAGUUGGUGGGGUAACGGCCCACCAAGCCGAAGAUCGGUACGGGCCAUGAGAGUGGGAGCCCGGAGAUGGACACUGAGACACGGGUCCAGGCCCUACGGGGCGCAGCAGGCGCGAAACCUCCGCAAUGCGGGAAACCGCGACGGGGGGACCCCCAGUGCCGUGGCAUCGCCACGGCUUUUCCGGAGUGUAAAAAGCUCCGGGAAUAAGGGCUGGGCAAGGCCGGUGGCAGCCGCCGCGGUAAUACCGGCGGCCCGAGUGGUGGCCGCUAUUAUUGGGCCUAAAGCGUCCGUAGCCGGGCCCGUAAGUCCCUGGCGAAAUCUCACGGCUCAACCGUGGGGCUUGCUGGGGAUACUGCGGGCCUUGGGACCGGGAGAGGCCGGGGGUACCCCUGGGGUAGGGGUGAAAUCCUAUAAUCCCAGGGGGACCGCCAGUGGCGAAGGCGCCCGGCUGGAACGGGUCCGACGGUGAGGGACGAAGGCCAGGGGAGCGAACCGGAUUAGAUACCCGGGUAGUCCUGGCUGUAAAGGAUGCGGGCUAGGUGUCGGGCGAGCUUCGAGCUCGCCCGGUGCCGAAGGGAAGCCGUUAAGCCCGCCGCCUGGGGAGUACGGCCGCAAG
Molecule: ribosomal RNA, 814 nt
Filed under: Thermococcus sp. CX3
Lineage: Archaea; Methanobacteriati; Methanobacteriota; Thermococci; Thermococcales; Thermococcaceae
Description: bacterial SSU rRNA
Rfam family: Archaeal small subunit ribosomal RNA
Source: RNAcentral